Long non-coding RNA from Lagenorhynchus albirostris (white-beaked dolphin), 841 nucleotides. RefSeq lists it as uncharacterized. The record is from RefSeq and is a predicted model, not a curated record. The transcript is spliced from 3 exons. Lineage: Eukaryota; Metazoa; Chordata; Mammalia; Artiodactyla; Delphinidae.
CCCUCCAACUGGUAUAGCUUCUGGAGGGCAGGACCCAUAUCCGCCCCGAGCCUGGCCCAAAGCAGCUGCUUGAUCAGUAUUUUCAGAAUGGAUCAAGAUAAAUGCAGCACGGUUUAUUAUAAAACGCGGCAAGACCAGAGUCCCGGGACUGGAUAUUAAAGAAUAACGAAAUAGAAUAGGUUCAGGCAGAGAUCGGGAACGUGACAACCUGCAAGGAGGUUGAACAGAGCAGGCUCCAUGUUCCUUUCCUCGGCCCUUUCUUUGUGCACCACCCUUAGUUUUCUCACCCUUUAGCUGACUUGCUGUUUUAUGUGUGACCUUGGCAGUGAAAGGAGACUGUCAAUACCAAAUGAAGAGGCUGAGUUGAUCCUUGUGGAACCAGAGGAUGCUAGAAGAUUUUGUGUUUGUGCUUCACAUAGAAAUCGGAAACUGAAAAAUCCCAUCGGCUAGCUUGGACAGGAGAACAGCAUAGCUUCCGUGCAGGAACGUGUUUCAAUCUCACAAUCCGUUAGCCCAGGUAGCGGGUGACAUUUCAGUAGCGUGUAUGCUGCUCACCAAUGCUAUGGAACAGAUGUGAAGACUGAUAACACUCGUGGAUCCAUCAGAAAUAUUUUUACUUGAGAACGACAAGGAGUGAUGAGGUGACACCAGUGACCCUUCAAGAAACAGCAACACUUUCAGCAAACCCACCAUGGUCCAAAGGGCACAGAGGAGGUGAUGGUGAGGUGAUGCCCUUUAUUCUAAUCUGAGACUACACAGAUGGUGACAGUGUUUGGUCGGAUUUUAGAAUCAACAGAUCACAGAGACAAAUAGGAAACAUCCUAAAUGUAAAUCAAUAGAG